RNAcentral lists this ribosomal RNA (253 nucleotides) under uncultured bacterium. RNAcentral describes it as "partial 16S ribosomal RNA". It matches the Rfam family "Bacterial small subunit ribosomal RNA", at positions 524 to 776 of the family's 1533-position model. The record is from RNAcentral.
UAUGUAGGGUGCGAGCGUUAAUCGGAAUUACUGGGCGUAAAGCGUGCGCAGGCGGUUUUGUAAGCCAGAUGUGAAAUCCCCGGGCUUAACCUGGGAACUGCCUUUGUGACUGCACGGCUAGAGUGUGUCAGAGGGGGGUAGAAUUCCACGUGUAGCAGUGAAAUGCGUAGAUAUGUGGAGGAAUACCGAUGGCGAAGGCAGCCCCCUGGGAUAACACUGACGCUCAUGCACGAAAGCGUGGGGAGCAAACAGG